Trematomus bernacchii (emerald rockcod) is the source of this 631-nucleotide long non-coding RNA. RefSeq lists it as uncharacterized. The transcript has 3 exons. The record is from RefSeq and is a predicted model, not a curated record. NCBI's taxonomy places the organism in Eukaryota, Metazoa, Chordata, Actinopteri, Perciformes, Nototheniidae.
ACACCCCAAUAAUCCCCCUUCAAAGAGCGAGCCGCAUGGGAAGGGGAGAUUCCAGUGCGUCCAGAGGUCUGGGCAAAAAUAAAAAACAACACAAGGGACUCCAUGUUCGUGAAGGAGUUGGCUGUGGCGUUUUGGGGCAUCGAAACCUUAGGGGAAAGGAGCCUGACUGGAAAGGAAUAUAUGGAAGCGAUCGUAUACUUAGUUCGUGUACUUGGUUCUUGGUAUGUGGCUUUUUAUCACAGCAAGGAGGCAAACUUUGUUUCAGAAAAGGCUGAGUAUAGCAAGACGAAAUACAGAAGAAAAAAACAGGAGAGUUUUGGCAAUCCUACAAUGCAGCACAGACGACUCUGAUCACUACAAAACGACAAUGCUACUUGAAGUUGUACCAUUUGCAAAGUCGCCGCCGCAGACCAUGUGUUUGGACGUUCGCUCGAGUGGUGGGGUGUGAUUAUUCCAUCUUUCACACACACUCAGUUGGUGCAGAACUUCAGGACGUCUGAGGAAACCUACGUCUACCUGUGCAACAAACUGCGGCCAGCGAUGGAGAGACAGGACACACCACAAGCUGCAGAGGAGGAGGGCACGGACAUACGAGAGGGUCUGAUGCGCUACUUGAAUAGCUGAAUAUUCA